UCGUGGUCCAUUUUUUUGUAGUGGAAAAUCAAUUUGUCGCUUUGUUGAUGAUGUCACUUUAGGAAUUGAAAUCAUUUUUUAAAGCUGAAAGAACUGGUAUAGAAUCUUAUUUGAAGUUUCCCAUGAACUUCCUUGACUCAUCCUUUGAAAAAAUCUAAAUGGAUAUCUCUCCUCCUUCGAAACUAGUACAUUUCCCUAAGCUUACAAAGUACCCAUCGACUGCUCUCUCUGUUAAUGCGUUUUAAUUUAAUUUUGCAUGCCCAACCGCACCGAACACAACACAAAUGGCCGAAUACUCGAAAUAAAAAGCCAGCACCGAACAAUGUUGCACUCCACCCUCCGGAACACAUUCCGUUUUGAAAGUCCCCAGAUAUAAAGAGGUGUUCCAAAUGGGUGGGUGGCGAUUCUGGUUGGAAACUGCAGCUAAAGUGGCACUGGGAGUCAAUAAGAAUGCGAUGUGGAUGACGAUAGCUGUCAGGGGCAUAACAAGCUGGACACGACACAUUGCACAUGGACAUGAGACAGGACCUGAAAUGAACUGAGCCGAGGAGUGGAGUGGCUCUGGAAGUGGGCUGGGGAUCCAACUGUUAUCAGCGGCAAGCACACACUCACAAUUUGAAUUUAGAAUUCCACAGUAAAAUGUUAUAAAGAUGGAUCUAAGAUUGAUUUAAGGCAACUCCUCUUAACUCCCCCAAAUCCUAACUACUUCUUUGAGAAGCAACUGUACUCUAGUCUCAAGUGCAUUUCCACUGCACUCAUCUGUCAGUCCUCAAGCCCAAUGUACAAGUAGCCAUAACUUGCAAAUAUAAUGACAAAGCAAUUAAAUAUUACGGCAAUCCUGGAUGGCCAGAUCGGUCUACGUCCUCCGAAAACGUCCUUCAUCCCCGCAGUCAAACAGAAAACAAUCAAAAACGGUGUCGAGUCUUCGCUUUACAUUCCUGGGGCAGGGGUAAUAGCUUUCAAACAAUAAAUGUCCGCAAAACCAUUGACAUGGCUAGCUGAAAUGUGGGGGUGGCCAGCAGAGGGUGGAAGGAGGCAGCGAGCAGAGUGGCCAAGUCAUUAUAGAAGAGGAAGUCGGCGAAACCUGGACUGCAAAGCAAUUCAUCUAAUUUGCAUGAGCCUUGAUGGGGUUCCCAUAUGUGCACUUAGAAAAAAGCUCCAGAAAA
This 1166-nucleotide small RNA is filed under the name Drosophila ananassae. RNAcentral's name for it is "GF28039". Lineage: Eukaryota; Metazoa; Arthropoda; Insecta; Diptera; Drosophilidae. The record is from RNAcentral.